Molecule: ribosomal RNA, 254 nt
Filed under: uncultured bacterium
Lineage: Bacteria
Description: partial 16S ribosomal RNA
Rfam family: Bacterial small subunit ribosomal RNA
Source: RNAcentral
CACGUAGGGGGCGAGCGUUGUCCGGAUUUAUUGGGCGUAAAGAGCUCGUAGGUGGCUCGGUAAGUCGGGUGUGAAAUUUCGAGGCUCAACCUCGAAACGCCACCUGAUACUGCUGUGGCUUGAGUCCGGUAGGGGAGCGUGGAAUUCCUGGUGUAGCGGUGAAAUGCGCAGAUAUCAGGAGGAACACCAGCGGCGAAGGCGGCGCUCUGGGCCGGUACUGACACUGAGGAGCGAAAGCGUGGGGAUCAAACAGG